This 1702-nucleotide long non-coding RNA is filed under the name Populus trichocarpa (black cottonwood). Its description in RNAcentral is "long non-coding RNA (PTRI_LNC002380)". Lineage: Eukaryota; Viridiplantae; Streptophyta; Magnoliopsida; Malpighiales; Salicaceae. The record is from RNAcentral.
GUGAACCAGAAGUGAGCUCCCCCCAAAAUAAAAUAGCUUAGUUUUGAGUUGUGAUCCAUUUUCUUCCCUUUGAAAUUUUACUGAUUGUUAAUAUUUCCUCGCAAUGCAGAGGAAUGACAUGGUUGAGUACUUUGGUGAGCAAUUGUCUGGUUUUGCCUUCACUGCUAAUGGCUGGGUCCAAUCUUACGGUUCUCGCUGCGUCAAGCCUCCUAUCAUCUAUGGUGAUGUGAGCCGCCCCAAGGCCAUGACUGUGUUCUGGUCUUCGUUGGCUCAAAGUAUGACUAAGCGACCCAUGAAGGGAAUGCUUACUGGUCCUGUUACCAUUUUGAACUGGUCCUUUGUCAGAAAUGACCAGCCCAGGUAGGAAUAAAAAUAUAACUAAUAUAACCAUGCUUGGUUUGCAGGCUGUUAAUUUAAUAUAUUGACAAUACCUAUCUAUGUUUGUACUAGAUUUGAGACCUGUUAUCAAAUUGCUUUGGCCAUCAAGGAUGAGGUUGAGGAUCUUGAGAAAGCCGGAAUUACGGUCAUCCAGAUUGAUGAAGCUGCUUUGAGAGAGGGCUUGCCCCUAAGGAAGUCCGAGCAUGCUUUUUAUUUGAACUGGGCUGUUCACUCUUUCAGGAUCACUAAUUGUGGUGUUGAAGACUCUACCCAGGUUCUUUCCUCCUCCUCAGUGUGUGUGUGUGUGCGUGUUUGUUUUUUGAAAGAUACACAUUGGAUGUUGGGCUAAAUGGUGGGAGGUAAAUCCAUCCCCCACCCAUUCUAUAAUCUUUAACUUUAAAAUUCAAGUCGGAAGUACCAGGUGAGCAGUCCCCUGGGAAUACUCGGUGGUGCUAUAGGCACACCUAUUAGUUUGUUGGCACAACUUCAAAUGAAAUGUCAAAAGUAUCCAAUAAAUUUUAUGGAAAUUGAAUGGAGAGUAGGUACAUUUAUAAAGGAUAGUGACAGUUAACCUUAAAAAAAUGUAGUGCCAACAUCACCACCCCACCCCUAAAAUCCCAAGAUCAUGAUUUAGACUUAAAUGUUCGGUGGGCAUUAUACCACCACUGAAACUUGCAAAUUCAGGAAAAUUCUCCUACGGAGAUUUUGGUGCAUGUAGUGAACUGUAUAGCAUCCUAGAUUUUGGGGAGAGGGGUGGGUGGAAGGUGUGCUUUUGUAUGGCUGUACUGGCAUCUCUUUGCUGGAUUAAUAAUGCUAGUAGCACUUGUUGAUGAUGCUACAACAAUGUCUUGGACAGAUCCACACCCACAUGUGCUACUCUAACUUCAAUGACAUCAUUCACUCAAUCAUUGACAUGGAUGCUGAUGUGAUCACCAUCGAGAACUCCAGAUCAGACGAGAAGCUUCUCUCAGUCUUCCGCGAGGGUGUGAAAUAUGGAGCAGGCAUUGGCCCUGGUGUUUAUGAUAUUCACUCUCCUAGGAUCCCCUCAGAAGAAGAAAUUGCCGACCGUGUUGAGAAGAUGCUUGCUGUCCUUGAAUGCAACAUUCUCUGGGUCAACCCUGAUUGUGGUCUAAAGACCCGCAAGUAUGCUGAAGUCAAACCUGCCCUCAGCAACAUGGUUGCAGCUGCCAAGCGUCUCCGUACCAAGUUUGCAAGUUCCCAGUGAGUUCAGGAAGUGUCGACGAAUUCAGACUGAAAGUGACGAAGAAUUCAGACUGAAAGUCCAGUGAGUUCAGGAAGUGUUGACGAAUUCAGACAGAAAGGA